RNAcentral lists this ribosomal RNA (442 nucleotides) under uncultured bacterium. RNAcentral's name for it is "partial 16S ribosomal RNA". It matches the Rfam family "Bacterial small subunit ribosomal RNA", at positions 338 to 795 of the family's 1533-position model. The record is from RNAcentral.
CCUACGGGAGGCAGCAGUGGGGAAUAUUGGACAAUGGGCGCAAGCCUGACCCAGCAACGCCGCGUGAAGGAAGAAGGCUUUCGGGUUGUAAACUUCUUUUCUGAGGGACGAAGAAAGUGACGGUACCUCAGGAAUACGCCUCGGCUAACUACGUGCCAGCGGCCGCGGUAAUCCGUAGGUGGCAAGCGUUAUCCGGAUUUAUUGGGUGUAAAGGGCGUGUAGGCGGGAAAGCAAGUCAGGUGUGAAAACUCAGGGCUCAAACCUGAGCUUGCCUUUGAAACGGUGUUGCUUGAGUGCUGGAGAGGCAAUGGGAAGUCCGGGGGGAGGGGUGAAAUGCGUAGAUAUACGGAGGAACACCAGUGGCGAAGGCGGAUUGCGGGACAGUAACGGACGCUGAGGCGCGAAAGCGUGGGGAGCAAACAGGAUAGAUACCCCUGUAGUC